CCUACGGGUGGCUGCAGUAGGGAAUAUUGGUUAAUGGGCGAAAGCCUGACCCAGCAACGCCGCGUGUGCGAUGAAGGCCUUCGGGUUGUAAAGCGCUUUUGAGUGGGAUGAGGAAGGACAGUACCACUCGAAUAAGUCUCGGCUAACUACGUGCCAGCAGCCGCGGUAACACGUAGGAGACGAGCGUUAUCCGGAUUUACUGGGUGUAAAGCGCGUGCAGGCGGUAUGGAAAGUUGGAUGUGAAAGCUCCCGGCUUAACUGGGAGAGGUCGUUCAAAACUACCAGACUAGAGUACAGCAGAGGGGAGUGGAAUUCCGAGUGUAGCGGUAAAAUGCAUAGAUAUUCGGAAGAACACCAGUGGCGAAGGCGGCUCCCUGGGCUGAAACUGACGCUCAGACGCGAAAGCUAGGGUAGCGAACGGGAUUAGAUACCCGGGUAGUC
RNAcentral lists this ribosomal RNA (441 nucleotides) under uncultured bacterium. RNAcentral's name for it is "partial 16S ribosomal RNA". It matches the Rfam family "Bacterial small subunit ribosomal RNA", at positions 338 to 795 of the family's 1533-position model. The record is from RNAcentral.